This is a long non-coding RNA of Cryptotermes secundus, 347 nucleotides long. RefSeq lists it as uncharacterized. Lineage: Eukaryota; Metazoa; Arthropoda; Insecta; Blattodea; Kalotermitidae. The record is from RefSeq and is a predicted model, not a curated record. The transcript is spliced from 2 exons.
AACGAAAAUAUUUUCGCGAAAUUUUAAUUGGACAGUGUUCUUUAUUGCUAUCUUGUAAGUGCACCUUUCCUUGGCCAAACAGGGUCCAACGUUUAUAACAUGUAUUUGUGAAGCACACGUUUUUAAUUUUUAAUUUUGCAUUUCACUUCUUCCAGACUGUCUAAUCCUAUGCAGAGACCAGUUACGAGUUAGAUGCUGAUUAGAAGUUGAUUCAAGAGCCAGUACUGGAACAGGAUUGAAGAAAACAAUAUCUCUGGUCUUCAACAGAAACAGUCCUGCCGUUAAGAUGUAAGCCUACAGCCCGGGGAUUGUAACCAGUGCAGCUGACGAAACACCAACAACAAACA